CCCUACGGGGGGCAGCAGUAGGGAAUCUUCCACAAUGGGCGAAAGCCUGAUGGAGCAACGCCGCGUGGGUGAAGAAGGUCUUCGGAUCGUAAAACCCUGUUGUUAGAGAAGAAAGUGCGUGAGAGUAACUGUUCACGUUUCGACGGUAUCUAACCAGAAAGCCACGGCUAACUACGUGCCAGCAGCCGCGGUAAUACGUAGGUGGCAAGCGUUAUCCGGAUUUAUUGGGCGUAAAGGGAACGCAGGCGGACUUUUAAGUCUGAUGUGAAAGCCUUCUGCUUUACCGGAGUAGUGCAUUGGAAACU
Molecule: ribosomal RNA, 305 nt
Filed under: uncultured bacterium
Lineage: Bacteria
Description: bacterial SSU rRNA
Rfam family: Bacterial small subunit ribosomal RNA
Source: RNAcentral